RNAcentral lists this transfer RNA (68 nucleotides) under Marmota monax (woodchuck). RNAcentral describes it as "tRNA.Ala". The record is from RNAcentral. Lineage: Eukaryota; Metazoa; Chordata; Mammalia; Rodentia; Sciuridae.
GGACUGUGGCUCAGUGGAAGAGCACUUGCCUAGCAUGUGCGAGGCCCUGGGUUCAAACCUUAGCACCA